This 78-nucleotide transfer RNA is filed under the name Ectopseudomonas mendocina. Its description in RNAcentral is "Pseudomonas mendocina tRNA-Trp(cca)". The record is from RNAcentral. Lineage: Bacteria; Pseudomonadati; Pseudomonadota; Gammaproteobacteria; Pseudomonadales; Pseudomonadaceae.
CACCCGCCUGGGCGAGGGCGUUUUGCAAUUCCAGCUGGCGCUGCGCCUGCUGCUGCAGUUCGUUGCUGUAGCGGGCGA